Molecule: RNA transcript, 5332 nt
Organism: Melospiza georgiana
Lineage: Eukaryota; Metazoa; Chordata; Aves; Passeriformes; Passerellidae
Gene: PTK2
Gene name: protein tyrosine kinase 2
Exons: 32
Source: RefSeq, a predicted model, not a curated record
GGAUCCGGCACGGCCAGGCGGCUCCAGCCUCCCCCCGCAGGAGCCCGGAGCGCUGAAUCGGGACAUUGUGUGCCGGAGCUGGCCGGCAUCGAGCGCGCUCCGUGUAUGUGGCUGCUGGAGGUGGCCGGGCAGCAGCCCCCGAGGCGGGCAGGUGCGGGCUGCAUGGAGAAAAGCGGCUGCAGCCCUUUCCCCAUGUGCUGGGCUAAAGAAUAUGACAGAUACCUAGCAUCUAGCAAAACCAUGGCAGCAGCUUACCUUGACCCAAACUUGAAUCACACCCCAAGUUCAGGUGCAAAGACUCACCUCAGUACUGGCAUGGAACGUUCCCCAGGGGCCAUGGAACGAGUCCUGAAGGUUUUCCACUACUUUGAAAUCAACAGUGAGCCAACAACGUGGGCCAGCAACAUCCGGCAUGGAGACGCCACCGAUGUCCGAGGCAUAAUUCAGAAGAUUGUGGACAGUCAGAAAGUGAAGAAUGUGGCCUGCUAUGGGUUACGGCUCAGCCACCUGCAGUCUGAGGAGGUUCACUGGCUGCACCUGGACAUGGGGGUGUCCAGUGUGAGAGAGAAAUUUGAACUAGCCCACCCUCCAGAAGAAUGGAAAUAUGAAUUGAGAAUUCGGUAUUUGCCAAAAGGAUUUCUAAACCAGUUCACUGAGGACAAACCAACUCUAAAUUUUUUCUAUCAGCAGGUGAAAAAUGACUAUAUGUUAGAAAUAGCAGAUCAAGUGGACCAGGAAAUUGCUUUGAAACUAGGUUGCCUUGAAAUCCGGAGAUCCUACGGAGAGAUGAGAGGCAAUGCAUUAGAAAAGAAGUCCAACUAUGAAGUGUUAGAGAAAGAUGUUGGUUUGAGACGGUUUUUCCCGAAGAGUUUGCUAGAUUCAGUGAAGGCCAAAACACUACGGAAAUUAAUCCAACAAACAUUUCGACAAUUUGCCAACCUCAAUAGAGAAGAAAGUAUUUUGAAGUUCUUUGACAUCCUCUCUCCAGUGUACAGAUUUGACAAGGAAUGCUUCAAGUGUGCUCUUGGUUCAAGCUGGAUUAUUUCAGUGGAGCUGGCAAUUGGCCCAGAAGAAGGAAUCAGUUACCUGACAGACAAGGGUGCAAAUCCAACCCAUCUAGCAGAUUUCAAUCAAGUGCAAACCAUUCAGUAUUCAAACAGUGAAGACAAGGACAGAAAAGGGAUGUUGCAACUCAAGAUAGCAGGUGCACCUGAGCCUCUGACAGUGACAGCACCAUCCUUAACCAUUGCAGAGAACAUGGCAGACCUGAUCGACGGCUACUGCCGCCUGGUCAACGGGGCCACGCAGUCCUUCAUCAUCAGGCCUCAGAAAGAAGGUGAAAGAGCUUUACCAUCAAUACCAAAGCUGGCCAACAAUGAGAAGCAAGGAGUGAGGUCUCACACGGUCUCUGUGUCAGGAGUCAAUCACUGUCAGCAUAAAGUAAAGAAAGCUAGACGCUUUCUGCCUUUCGUCUUCUGUGCCCAUGAGUCGCCGCCCAAGGAUGAAAUUAGUGGGGACGAGACUGAUGACUAUGCAGAGAUUAUAGAUGAAGAAGACACUUACACAAUGCCCUCAAAAAGCUAUGGAAUAGAUGAAGCCAGAGAUUAUGAAAUUCAAAGGGAGAGGAUUGAGCUGGGGCGCUGCAUUGGGGAAGGACAGUUUGGAGAUGUGCACCAAGGAGUUUACAUGAGCCCGGAAAAUCCAGCUAUGGCUGUUGCAAUCAAAACGUGUAAAAACUGCACUUCAGACAGUGUUAGAGAAAAAUUCUUACAAGAAGCCUUAACAAUGCGUCAGUUUGAUCACCCCCACAUUGUGAAGCUCAUUGGGGUUAUCACAGAAAACCCAGUCUGGAUAAUCAUGGAGCUCUGUACACUUGGAGAGCUGAGGUCGUUCUUGCAAGUAAGGAAGUACAGCUUGGACCUGGCCUCUCUGAUACUCUAUGCUUACCAGCUUAGCACAGCUCUUGCCUACCUGGAGAGCAAAAGAUUUGUACAUAGGGAUAUUGCUGCUAGAAAUGUGCUGGUGUCUACCACUGACUGUGUGAAACUGGGUGACUUUGGAUUGUCCCGAUACAUGGAAGACAGUACUUACUACAAAGCUUCCAAAGGAAAAUUACCCAUCAAAUGGAUGGCUCCAGAGUCCAUCAAUUUCCGACGGUUUACCUCAGCUAGCGAUGUGUGGAUGUUUGGUGUGUGUAUGUGGGAGAUCCUCAUGCACGGGGUAAAGCCCUUCCAGGGAGUGAAGAACAAUGAUGUGAUUGGGCGGAUCGAGAACGGUGAGCGGCUCCCAAUGCCUCCAAACUGCCCUCCCACCCUCUACAGCCUUAUGACCAAGUGCUGGGCCUACGACCCCAGCAGGAGACCCAGGUUUACUGAACUUAAAGCACAACUCAGUACAAUACUGGAGGAAGAGAAGCUGCAGCAAGAAGAACGAAUGAGAAUGGAAUCCCGGCGACAAGUCACGGUGUCCUGGGACUCAGGAGGAUCAGAUGAAGCUCCUCCCAAGCCCAGUAGACCUGGUUACCCCAGCCCCAGAUCCAGUGAAGGCUUUUAUCCAAGCCCACAGCAUAUGGUACAGCCAAAUCAUUACCAGGUGUCUGGCUACCCUGGUUCUCAUGGGAUACCAGCCAUGGCAGGCAGCAUUUAUCCUGGGCAGGCUUCUCUCCUGGAUCAAACAGAUUCCUGGAACCAUCGGCCUCAGGAAAUACCAGUGUGGCAACCAAACAUGGAGGAUUCAGGCACUUUGGACAUCCGUGGGAUGAGCCAGGUUCUGCCCACACACCUCAUGGAGGAGAGGUUGAUACGGCAGCAGCAGGAGAUGGAGGAGGAUCAGCGCUGGCUCGAAAAAGAAGAACGAUUCCUGAAACCCGACAUGAGGCACUCCAGAGGCAGCAUUGACCGCGAGGACGGAGCUCUGCAGGGCCCUGCUGGUAACCAGCACAUAUAUCAGCCUGUGGGAAAACCAGAUCACGCGGCUCCGCCAAAGAAGCCCCCGCGCCCCGGAGCCCCCGGGCACCUGGGCAGCCUGGCCAGCCUCAACAGCCCCGUGGACAGCUACAACGAGGGUGUGAAGGUAGGGGAACACCCAGAAAAUGGAACAUUCCCAGGGCCACUUUGUUCAUUACCAGUGAAACAGCCCCAGCAAAUCAAACAUGGCAGCUCUGAGGUAGUUUGGUGUUCCUGAAGUAGAGAGCAUGGAAAGCAAAGGGGACAGAAUUCAUGAGUAAAUAAUGUCAUGGGGCAAACAGCUCCAGGGGAGUGGGGAGGGAACUCAGAGUCUCCCUGGCUGUGAUUUAGUGUGCUCCUCACCUAGAACCUGCCCAGGUGAGCUUAUUUCUAGUGUGGAAUGAUGAGGUGUCCCAAAUAGACCCAGCUCCCUGUUGGGCAGGGUGGAGCAUGCCCAGGGAUCCCAGUUGCUCAGAUGGUACCAGAGUCUUCUGUCUUUGGUCACAGGAGGUGAGACCUCUCCUGCAGUGCUCAAAAAGCUCUUGCUGCAGCACCAGAGCUCCUCAAAUACUACCAGCUCUGGGGAGCAAGGGAAGAGGGGAAAUGGGCUGUCUGACCUGGGAGGGAGAUACUUCCUAAUGUGUUCUUUCAUUUCCCAUAAAUAGCAAUAAAGCCAAAACUGAAACUUGACAGUGGUUUUGUAGGAGAGGUGCUGCUACAGGGUGCAGUGUCCUGCCCCUGCUGCAAUUGGUGUCCACAGAACAGCUCCUAAGGAUGUCAGGCACUCCCAAAAUCAUCCCUUUGUGUGCUGUUUCCUGCCUGUGGGACUCUGCCACCUUUCUAAUCUCCAGGAAACAGCCCUGCCAGGCCUGUAGUAAAGAACAGGAAUCCAUGGUGUGAUGGCCACAGCAGUUGGGAUGAGUGACCCUUAUUUUAGGUGAUUUAAGGAAAUACAGAAAAAGCCCAGUUCAUCUGAACAUGAAAUUCAGAACUGCCAUCAGAGCAGUGUGUUCAGCACAACUUGAUCCCAGCCACUGCCAGCCUGCCUCACUCCUGCUCGUGUUCUGGGAUUAUUGGAAUGUUUAAGAACCAGUGUAAAUAGCCAGCAGUGGUGAAUUUGAGCAGGAUUAUUUAUCAUAAACUGAUGCCAGUGCUUUACAAGCUGCCAAGCCUCAGAAAAUGUCAAAAAGCAGUAACAGAUGUGUUCCUAAACUCAGCUUCUCUGAAAUUUCCUUUCUAAAUGCUGAUGCUGGAACAUGAAAUAAUGUUUUUGAAGUAAAUCCUUCUGACAACAAACAAACCUGAGCAGUCAGAGACAUCAGUAGUGACAAGUGAACGGGAUUUGUGUACUAAAUAGCUCUUUGAGUAGAAAAGAAGGGCUGAUUUUUUUUCUUCUGUCAAAAUUUUCUUGGAAUUGGAUUGUUUUAUGCCCCUUGAAGAAAACAGCCCAUUACUUUUUUGGCAUAGCUUUGUUAAUGGUUGCAGUCCUAAACUGAAGAUGCUUCUGGGGUUCAUUUCAGACUCCCUUUUCUGUACCCCCAGUUCAGACUCCCCUUUUUAGGGAGAGCACAGAUGAAGAGGAUUGGAAUUUCCUGCCCUUGGGAGCCUUCAGGGCAGGCUCCAGAGAGUUCAGCCAGUUCCACAAAGAAACUCAAAAUUCUGCAGAGUAGUGGUGUUGAUAUUGGGGAUAAGCAAAGAGAAACCAAGAUCUGAGAAACACAAUGUCCAUAGUCUUGAAAAGUUUGGGUCUGGAGUUCUGAGGGUUGGGAAUCAUCUGGAAUGGGUUCUGGGUAGUUCCUGGCCAUGGCUGUGAUGAGUUCUUGUGAACAAGUCCUGCACAGUUAAAUCACCCAUGUAUUUUCCAUCAUGACUUACCUAAACAAGAAGUUCCAGAAAUAUGAGUACAAAAUUUGUAUCCUAGACUGUUUGUGCAGAGGGACCAGCAGAGUUCCCAGGACAGGUUUCCCAGGCCCUUGCUCCACUCAGCACUCUGCCACACUGGCUUGCUCCUGUCAGCUUUGCAUGAUCUCCUGCCCGUGUGUUGAGUCAGGAGGAAGCAUGGGGUGCAUGGCAAACCCUUCCACUGCCCACAGGGGUGCACAGCAGCUCUUCUGUCACACAGGCCCCAGAGCUAACACGGGUGGCUGCCAGUUCUGGUGAGGAUGUGUUUUCAUUGCAGGCUUUUUAACUGGUCUCUGAUUGCUACACAUGUUUUGGGUUUGUUUGGUUUUAUUUUUAUUUUUUUUUCCUGCUGAGUUUUAUUAAUAUUGUUUUUCUUUUUUUCCCUUCUUUUGGUAAAUUUCUUUAACUUCCCCCCACAUUCUGCUCAACCAUAGCCAUGGAGGAUCCAGCCGCAGGAGAUCAGCCCUCCCCCCACGGCCAACCUG